This is a non-coding RNA of Camellia sinensis, 742 nucleotides long. NCBI's taxonomy places the organism in Eukaryota, Viridiplantae, Streptophyta, Magnoliopsida, Ericales, Theaceae. The record is from RefSeq and is a predicted model, not a curated record.
GUUCCAACCCUUUGACCUUUAAUCAAAAGGAACAUAGAGAGCUGCUGGGAACAUUGAAAAGAAGGGUUGAAAGAACAAAAUCGCAGGAGAAGAGAAGGGUUUGAAUCGUCUCAUCGCAGAGAGAUAGAGAGUUGAAGGAGCAAAGCGAAGAAGGUAUGUAUGUAUUGAAAUUGAUAGUGUUCCCGACUAGGGAUGGGGGGAUUGAUGUUCGAUCGUGAUUACUGAUUUGAAGAUCACAAACUUCUAAUUUUGGAAUUAUUCUUCACUCUUCCUUCUCAAGCACAAUGACACAUAUUCUGCCACUAAAGUUGAAGGAGAGGCGCUGGUCAUCAAGUCAAAUGAUAGUAAUGGGCUUCUAACAUGCUGCAUCUGUCUUGGCAGCAUUUUCGGUCCUGGUGAUGAAUUACUUGUUCCAUCAUUGGUAUUUGCUGCGAGGGCAGGGAAAUCGAAGGUCACCCAGUUUUUUGUCCAUUUAAUUUCUCAUGUUGUGACUGCCUUACAUAUUGGUUUUAUAAUGUUCUAGAAAUUCAGGUGUUUCAUUCAAAUCAAGUUGGUGGAUAGCGAGGUUCUUAAUCAUUUGAAUCCAUAUAAUUAAUAAAUGGCAUAACGUAGGUGUUCUUGCACUUAGGGCAUUGAAAAUUGAGUAUUUGUGCUGCAUACAUUCUCUCUUUCUGUAAAACACUAAACCAGUUACUAACUAAAAACAUUUGUAUUUCAUAUGUUUUGUGAUCUUUUCAAUUUU